CGUAAGGGUAGAGGCGCAAUAAUUAUUAGUAUUAUUAAUGAGGUAAGCACUAUGAUUUAGUAAGAAAGGAAUUGUUGCCGAAGUAUACAACUGAUGCUUUAAGGUUGUAUAGCUGGGGAUGCAUAAAAUAUAUGUAUCACUGUCACAAAUUAUAUUUGUGGUGAGCUAUCAUUUGA
Clostridium sp. CAG:221 is the source of this 176-nucleotide non-coding RNA. NCBI's taxonomy places the organism in Bacteria, Bacillati, Bacillota, Clostridia, Eubacteriales, Clostridiaceae. The record is from Rfam.